Molecule: long non-coding RNA, 467 nt
Filed under: Salvia miltiorrhiza (redroot sage)
Lineage: Eukaryota; Viridiplantae; Streptophyta; Magnoliopsida; Lamiales; Lamiaceae
Description: long non-coding RNA (SMIL_LNC000824)
Source: RNAcentral
UACCCUUUCUAUAGGAUAUGAAAUAAAGCAAAAUUAGCUCAAAUGAUUGAAAUUAUUAAGGACUUCGGAUAUCCCAAAGUUCCAAUCCAUCUUAGUAAACAAUGGAUUAGCAUGUGGAGUAGUAUUUUUAGCUAUCUAGGCUACUCUUCGAAAGUAAGUAAAUGCCCCUAAUAAAAUUCUAAAUUUUCUAACAAGAAUUUCCAAUAUUAUCAAUUUUGCCUAAGAGUCAAACCAUGCUUGCACAGGCGAACCUAAUCACAAUAUAUUUUAGCAAAAUUAAAGCUUCCAGGUUCCAAUGCUCCUAGGAUUAAAAUAUUCUGACUUUGCCAACUCAUUAAACCUUAGAAGUUGUAACACCAAACAUAUUUUCUUCAACAUAAAACAACAGACAUCUUAUAAUUAUGAUUUCAUUCUUUAUCAAAUCUAGAUCAGAAACGUGGACUUAUAUAUACCGGGUUUCUAUCAAC